AUCCGGGUUGCGGACAGUGUCUGGUGGGUAGUUUGACUGGGGCGGUCUCCUCCUAAAGAGUAACGGAGGAGCACGAAGGUUGGCUAAUCCUGGUCGGACAUCAGGAGGUUAGUGCAAUGGCAUAAGCCAGCUUGACUGCGAGCGUGACGGCGCGAGCAGGUGCGAAAGCAGGUCAUAGUGAUCCGGUGGUUCUGAAUGGAAGGGCCAUCGCUCAACGGAUAAAAGGUACUCCGGGGAUAACAGGCUGAUACCGCCCAAGAGUUCAUAUCGACGGCGGUGUUUGGCACCUCGAUGUCGGCUCAUCACAUCCUGGGGCUGAAGUAGGUCCCAAGGGUAUGGCUGUUCGCCAUUUAAAGUGGUACGCGAGCUGGGUUUAGAACGUCGUGAGACAGUUCGGUCCCUAUCUGCCGUGGGCGCUGGAGAACUGAGGGGGGCUGCUCCUAGUACGAGAGGACCG
This 457-nucleotide ribosomal RNA is filed under the name Salmonella enterica. RNAcentral's name for it is "partial 23S ribosomal RNA". It matches the Rfam family "Bacterial large subunit ribosomal RNA", at positions 2238 to 2694 of the family's 2925-position model. Lineage: Bacteria; Pseudomonadati; Pseudomonadota; Gammaproteobacteria; Enterobacterales; Enterobacteriaceae. The record is from RNAcentral.